UACGGAGGGUGCAAGCGUUAAUCGGAAUUACUGGGCGUAAAGCGCGCGUAGGUGGCUUGAUAAGCCGGUUGUGAAAGCCCCGGGCUCAACCUGGGAACGUCAUCCUGAACUGGCAAGCUAGAGUGCAGAAGAGGAAGGUAGAAUUCACGGUGUAGCGGUGAAAUGCGUAGAUAUCGGGAGGAAUACCAGUGGCGAAGGCGGCCUUCUGGACUGACACUGACACUGAGGUGCGAAAGCGUGGGUAGCAAACAGG
This 253-nucleotide unclassified non-coding RNA is filed under the name uncultured Halomonadaceae bacterium. RNAcentral describes it as "contains 16S-23S intergenic spacer region". It matches the Rfam family "Bacterial small subunit ribosomal RNA", at positions 524 to 776 of the family's 1533-position model. The record is from RNAcentral. Lineage: Bacteria; Pseudomonadati; Pseudomonadota; Gammaproteobacteria; Oceanospirillales; Halomonadaceae.